This 469-nucleotide ribosomal RNA is filed under the name uncultured bacterium. RNAcentral's name for it is "partial 16S ribosomal RNA". It matches the Rfam family "Bacterial small subunit ribosomal RNA", at positions 28 to 507 of the family's 1533-position model. The record is from RNAcentral.
GACGAACGCUGGCGGCGUGCUUAACACAUGCAAGUCGAACGGAAAGGCCCUGCUUGCCGGGUGCUCGAGUGGCGAACGGGUGAGUAACACGUGGGUGAUCUGCCCCUUACUUUGGGAUAAGCCUGGGAAACUGGGUCUAAUACUGGAUAGGACCAUGCUGUAGGUGGUGUGGUGGAAAGAUUAGUUUCGGUAAGGGAUGAGCUCGCGGCCUAUCAGCUUGUUGGUGGGGUAAUGGCCUACCAAGGCGUCGACGGGUAGCCGGCCUGAGAGGGUGGACGGCCACAUUGGGACUGAGAUACGGCCCAAACUCCUACGGGAGGGAGCAGUGGGGAAAAUUGCACAAUGGGCGCAAGCCUGGUGCAGCGACGCCGCGUGGGGGAUGACGGCCUUCGGGUUGUAAACUCCUUUCAGCCAUGACGAAGCCCUUGUGGUGACGGUAGUGGUAGAAGAAGCACCGGCUAACUACGUG